RNAcentral lists this long non-coding RNA (277 nucleotides) under Manihot esculenta (cassava). Its description in RNAcentral is "long non-coding RNA (MESC_LNC011890)". The record is from RNAcentral. Lineage: Eukaryota; Viridiplantae; Streptophyta; Magnoliopsida; Malpighiales; Euphorbiaceae.
GUUAACUCUGUGCCAGGCCUGUAGAAUGGGGCCCUGGUCUUUCCUGUCAGAACAUACAUUACUUACCAUUUUCCCAGGGCCUCCUCUGGCUCCUGGUCUUCAAGUCCCACAACCGUACUAGACCAUAGGAUGGGAUCCUGGUCUUUCCUUACUCUGUGCCAGGCCUGUAGACUGGGGCCUGGUCUUUCUUACUCUGUGCCAGGCCUGUAGCAUGGGGCCUGGUCUUCCUGUCAUGGACUAAAUGGAUCAUCCGACAUUCACCCACAUCAACAACAAU